This is a long non-coding RNA of Carassius gibelio (silver crucian carp), 4443 nucleotides long. RefSeq lists it as uncharacterized. Lineage: Eukaryota; Metazoa; Chordata; Actinopteri; Cypriniformes; Cyprinidae. The record is from RefSeq and is a predicted model, not a curated record. The transcript is spliced from 2 exons.
UCCAUCAUAUUCCUUUUCCUGCCAGCAGUUUUCUAUUGCUUUUCAGCAGCCUACGGAUUGUGGCGUGUAGAGUAAUUUUGAUAUUUCGAGCUUGUCAUGUCUGGAGUGCGGGCCGAAUCAAGUCAGCAUCAAAUCAGGAUUGGCAUGUAAGUGUCAGUUUCAGGAUGCUGGUCAGUAAUGGGGCGUCCAUCACGUGCCAGCAGUGUCCUGAUGCUAAUAUGGUCCGGUAUUGAAUUUGGAUUACAAAUUUAAGCUCUCAUAUGUUACUGUAUUAAUAAUAUUAAGAAUACUAAUACUAUUUAAUAAUAAUAUGUUUAAUCUCAUUCAUAGUUGGUCACCAAGUUUGCUUAUGUAUCUGUGGACCAGAAAUGUAUUAUUUUAAUAUUAUUUAUAUCCAUAAUUGGAUGUAUAAUGUAUUAAGUGCAUGAGGAAGUUAUAUAUACUCCAUGGGUUGGGGUCUGCAUGAACAUGUAAGGAUCAUAUAACAGACACCGGGAGGAGAAGAGAUAAUUUUGGCCAUACAAGAAUGUGUGUACAUGCAGGACUGUAUGUACAUGUAAUGUGUUCCACCGAGGCAUACAGUGGCUUGUUUUUCCACUGAUGUAAGCAUGACAUUCUAUUUUAAACAAACCAACAUGUUUCUCUACCUUAUAAGGAAUUGCAAAUCCUUUAGUCAGUGGUAUACAAUGCCAUGCUCACUGUUAAUUCCUGAUUCAUAUGACAAUUAAGAGUUUUCUGCAAGGCAACUGGUAUUCAACAAACUUCUUAAAAAUUAAACUCCAAUGUAGAGUUUUGUAGUCAGACUCCAGCAUGUUGCCCAGCCAAUUUCUUAGUUAAGAUUAAUGUUGAAAUGUAAGUAAUGAGUAAAUUACUAUAAAAUAAUAUUGUUGUUAGACUGUUGUGUUAUUUUGUGUUGUCAUUAUGCUAUAUACUUUAACCACCUCAGAGGAAAGUGAGGGUCCCAAGGUAGUGGCACUGUUAUUUUGGGGGUCGUGUGCUGAAAAGUUUGGGUCCUUCUUUUAUGGUCACAGUAUAUCAACAUGCAGUAACAAUGUAAAUUAAUUUCAUAAAUAGCAUUAAGCCUUUAACCUUGAUAUAAUUUCCGCAAAGUAAUGAAUGCUCCUGUGAUCAAAAAUGCAGUGUGAUUAGUACUGUAUAUCCAAUCAUUUUCCACAUUAUUAAUGAUCAAAUAAUUACUGUUGCCAGCCUAAGUGUAACAACAAUAGAAUGAAAGUCCCACUAAAAACUAGUGAUUAAACCAAUCACUCUCUGUGUUAAUAGUGUAUCCAACUACUGUUGCCAGCCAAGUGUGACAAAAAUGAAAUCAAUGUCCUACUAACAACUUGAAAACCAAUUAAUUAAUUAAUUAAUUAGAGAUUAAACCAAUCUCUUUACGAGAUACUAGGAUCCUACAGGGGUAAGCGUUGUAUUUUAUUUCAGAAUUCUCCAAAAACACUUACCCCUUUUAUUGUAGGUCCUCCUCUGAUCUCCGGCAUGCCUUGCCAGCCAAGUGCACAGUUGUCAUUCUCUCUUGAGUAUACGAUGGACCAGGAAGAAGCUCAGGUCAAAAGUGAUGUGAGUAUAAGUGGCACUGGAAAUGGCAAUGGCUAUUAAUGGCUAAUAGUCUAUUAUGAAUAUGAUUAAGCCUUACAUAACCUCCCCCCCACCCCCGUUUUUGUUUAUUUUUUGUUAUAUCUUUAAUUCCAAGUCUGGAUCUUUUUCUAUUGUUAACAGUCUCACCCACUUCUCAGAUAUCUGUUUAUUAUCUGUGUUUUCUUCCAUUGUCCUGUUAAAUGAGAUAUUUUGCUAGGAUGUGCAGUCUAUAAGUACUCUUUAUUUUUUCAUGGAGCUUCAGGUCUGUUCACAUCAAGACAAGUACUGUGCAACUUUGCGUUUCUGAUACCCACUUUUCACAGAUAAGAAAAGAAAUCACACAUAUUUCUGUGUUAUAAAACAGCCAUUCAUAUUUUUGUAUUCACUAUUAUCGCUUUGCAAUAUACACCAAGUAAUAGUUUUAAUGGCAUUGUUUGGUCAUGGUUUGCUAGUGUGAACACGAGUUAAAAUAGAAAUAAAAACCUAUAAAAACAAGGCUCUCUGUGUAUCUCCAGCAGGCUAAGCUAUUUGUGUCUCUGUUGCUGCCAUUAGCAGCUCAGUAGGAGUGCUUUGUUGCUUAUGUUGGCUGUGCCUUUGUUUUGAAGGUAAGUACAGAUAUUAACAUUACAUUUUACACUUCAGGUUGCUUAAUUAAGUAUAUGUCUGUCUUUUCCCUUUUUCCUUUUCCUUGCAGGUUAACUUAACUUUAUUUUUUGUUACAGACUGUACAUAAGCUCCUUGUUCAACUGUCUGUGGAUAUUUUCUUUAUAGACUGGGAAAGACCUUGUAGUAAAACCAGUAAACAUGUGAAAUGCCUGUUACAUUAAAUCUAUACAAACUCUUCACUUUUAAUUAGAAUAUUUUAAUAUUUCUUUUAAAUAAUACAUAUUCUAUAAUUAUGCUGUAAUGUGCUCAGGGUCUGGUGAAGCACUGUCAGUAUCUGGAGAACAUAUUUUGUGGCCUCCAAAUCUGAUUGAUCUCCCAAAGGAUACAUCCACCGAAGACAUAGAAUUUAUCAUGAGUUCUGAUCUAAGCAAUAAUGUUAAGGAAGUGAGGACAGCUAAGGCUAGAUGUGAAGGAAAUUAUGCAUGUGCAUUGGCCUUGUUACAAAGAGGAGUUUUGAAGGAAGAGAUAGAUGGAGAAUGUUGGAUUUGUAUGCAACUCCACUCAGCGUGGAGAAAACACCCUGUAACAUCAGAUAUGGUAUGUCUUGAGAGAAACAGAUGUGAUGUACCACGCCAGAUGUCUAUAAUUCUACAGAUGACAAAUAAUCUAAAAACAAACAGAGCAUUGUUGUUUUCGCUCCAAGAGUAUAAUUGUUCCUAUAAAGGACUACCUUUUACAGGACCAGCCUUUCAUGUACUGUCACAUCUCGCAGAUUUGUGUAUUUGUUCAACCAAAGGAAAACAUUAUGUAGGAAUGUCAGAUUGUAAGACUGCAAUAACUCUGAUUCAAAAUGCUGGAAAUCGGCCUAAUUGUACUAUUAAGUAUGAUAACCAAUCUGUUGAGAAUUUUCACUGUCCGUUUUCUUAUCUUGAUAGCUCCCCAGGUAUGAUUUGGACCUGUGGGGGAAUGGCUUAUUACCAUUUGGAUGAAGGAGAAUGGCGUGGAUGUUGUUAUCCAGCUACACUCUCCACAGGAACUACCGUAUUGACACGUAAAGACCUUGAUACCUGUGAUAGUCAGGCACCAUCACACAGACAGAAAAGAGAGGUCGAUACAAUGGAUACAAAACAGCUACGCCCUGGACAACCCCAUGGGAAAAUGUGGGAUGGUCCAUAGCUAGUUUCUUUCCAGGGGUAGGAACCUCCAUUGCUUUAAACAAAAUAAAUGGUUUAGCUUCGCAAGUCUUGUCAUUGGAAAAUGAUACUACUCAUGCAUUAAGUUUAAUAACAGAGGAAAUGAAAAAGAUGAGAGAAGCAGUAGUUCAAAACAGACUUGUUCUCGACUUUUGACAUCGCAGCAGGGAGGAGUUUGUAAAAUGUUGGGAGUAUCUUGUUGUUUUUACAUUCCAGAUAACUCUGACAACGUUUCCAAUAUUGUGGACCAGAUGAGAGAAUCCAUUACAGAGCCAAAGAAAGAUGAUUCCUGGCUGAGCUGGCUCAGCGGCCUAUGGGGAGGAUGGGGAACUUGGAUUCUACACACUGUUGUACCUGUUGUUAUAUUCAUAGUGAUUCUUCUGCUAAUAGCACCCUGUGUGAUGCAAUGUAUUAGUACUUCUAUAAUGCGUUCUGUUACAGCGCUCACUACGGGAAAAACCUAUCAAGCAAUGCUGCACGUAUCCAAUCCAGUACCAACCAUUGUUAGGGUUCCAGAGCAGUUGGAGAUGAAUGUGAUUGAAGCUGAGGAUUUUCCAACAGAUGCUGAUAGCUCUACUGGAGAUGAGUAUGUGCAUACUUAUGAGUUAGAGCCUGAAAACUGAUUCUGAUAUACAUGUGUAAUCCUGAUUAAGAGUUAUACUAACCAUUUUUUAUUCCUAUUCUGAAAAUUGUAUAACAAAAAUGAAUACUAACUGAAUAUAUAUAUCACAUAUGAUUACUGUGUACGAAAGUAUAAUCAAGAAACAUAAGAUAUGCCCAAGAUUCUUCACGGUUGUGUAAGACAUGUCUUCGACUGUCUUAAAGUGGCCAUUGUGAGAUUCUGCUCGUGUACGUGAACAUCUUGUGAUAAAGGACAUUGUGUGAUGAAAGUAUGAUGUAUUCCUUUUGAACCUUACUCUAUAUUCAUGGUAUUGCUCAAUGCAGUGUGUUAUGCUUGAUCAUCCAAAUAUCUGCCAGACAUUCCAUUGCUUCAUUUCCCUAUAAAAGUAACACCCCUUGUACAAUAAAGUUGAGCUUAGAAUGACCUGCA